This 465-nucleotide ribosomal RNA is filed under the name Vreelandella stevensii. RNAcentral's name for it is "partial 16S ribosomal RNA". It matches the Rfam family "Bacterial small subunit ribosomal RNA", at positions 338 to 795 of the family's 1533-position model. The record is from RNAcentral. Lineage: Bacteria; Pseudomonadati; Pseudomonadota; Gammaproteobacteria; Oceanospirillales; Halomonadaceae.
CCUACGGGCGGCAGCAGUGGGGAAUAUUGGACAAUGGGCGAAAGCCUGAUCCAGCCAUGCCGCGUGUGUGAAGAAGGCCUUCGGGUUGUAAAGCACUUUCAGUGGGGAAGAAAGCCUUGGGGCUAAUACCCUCGAGGAAGGACAUCACCCACAGAAGAAGCACCGGCUAACUCCGUGCCAGCAGCCGCGGUAAUACGGAGGGUGCGAGCGUUAAUCGGAAUUACUGGGCGUAAAGCGCGCGUAGGCGGUCUGAUAAGCCGGUUGUGAAAGCCCCGGGCUCAACCUGGGAACGGCAUCCGGAAAUGGCAGGAUAGAGUGCAGGAGAGGAAGGUAGAAUUCCGUGUGGAGCGGUGAAAUGCGUAGAGAUCGGGAGGAAUACCAGUGGCGAAGGCGGCCUUCUGGACUGACACUGACGCUGAGGUGCGAAAGCGUGGGUAGCAAACAGGAUUAGAUACCCCAGUAGUC